CAAAAUGAUAGAAAAGAUAGUCUGCAAAAAAUUGCAAGCCAAAGAGAAGAUUUAGAGUAUGAUAAAUCAAUUUCAGCAUGUGAAACAUAAAGGGAGAGAUUUCUGGGUAAACAUGGAAGGUCAAACACUAUACCUUCCUAAACUAAAUUUAAUGACAAUCUAUUAGUUUUCCGUUGCUGUUGGAAUAAAUUACCACAAAUUUAGUGAUUUAAACAACACAGAUAUAUUUUUUCCUGAAGGUUCUAGGGGAGAAUCCAUUUUCUUGUACUUUCCAGCUUCUAGAGGGUCUAGAGGACACCCAUUCCUUGACUCAUGGCCCCCUGACUGUAUCUUCAAAGCAGAAGCUAGGUUCAUCUCCUGACAGGCUGAAUCAGAAAGACUCCAGAUUCGGGGACUCCAAGCACAGCCGGACUAUGAGGUAUCAUGCUGAGGCAGGAAGUUUUAAAGGAGCAAAAACACCUGGGCAGAAAUAAGCGCACACAAACGUAGUUAACUUAUCUUUGACGAAGGAGCAAAGACAAUAUAAUGGAGGAAACAUAGUCUUUUCAACAAAUGGUGCUGUCAAUAUAUACUCCCACCAACACUAUAGGGGUAUACAAGAAGGUAAUCAAUAAAAGACUUUCAAAAAUAAAAAUGUAACACGUCAGAACAAAAUUCACUCUGGGAUCCAGUAUGAUGGAACAAUCUUUAUCUAGAUUGUUACCAGAGGGAACAGAAUGCUGCUUUCCCUUUGAGUUGACUCAACGUUUCUGUUCAGAAGUGACCGUCACCUUUUCUCACGUUUCAUUGGCCAAAGCAGAUCACAAAGCUGACGUUAAUGCUCGACUGUUCCCAAGAGGAGAAGUGAAUAUUUUUGAAUAAUAAUAUAAUCUCACACAGAUGUCAGCUUAAAAAUACAUGGAUACAUACAUUUUCAAAGUUAUUUCAGCAGAUAUAUGAGCAAAAACUUUGAAGACUACUGAGUUACAGCAAAUAACACCGUCUUAUU
RNAcentral lists this long non-coding RNA (988 nucleotides) under Equus caballus (horse). RNAcentral describes it as "lncRNA (ENSECAG00000055248.1)". The record is from RNAcentral. Lineage: Eukaryota; Metazoa; Chordata; Mammalia; Perissodactyla; Equidae.